CCUACGGGGGGCAGCAGUGAGGAAUAUUGGUCAAUGGACGAGAGUCUGAACCAGCCAAGUAGCGUGAAGGAUGACUGCCCUAUGGGUUGUAAACUUCUUUUAUAUGGGAAUAAAAUGUUCCACGUGUGGGAUUUUGUAUGUACCAUAUGAAUAAGGAUCGGCUAACUCCGUGCCAGCAGCCGCGGUAAUACGGAGGAUCCGAGCGUUAUCCGGAUUUAUUGGGUUUAAAGGGAGCGUAGGUGGAUUGUUAAGUCAGUUGUGAAAGUUUGCGGCUCAACCGUAAAAUUGCAGUUGAAACUGGCAGUCUUGAGUACAGUAGAGGUGGGCGGAAUUCGUGGUGUAGCGGUGAAAUGCUUAGAUAUCACGAAGAAGUCCGAUUGCGAAGGCAGUUCACUGGACUGCAACUGACACUGAGGCUCGAAAGUGUGGGUAUCAAACAGGAUUAGAUACCCGAGUAGUC
This 460-nucleotide ribosomal RNA is filed under the name uncultured bacterium. Its description in RNAcentral is "partial 16S ribosomal RNA". It matches the Rfam family "Bacterial small subunit ribosomal RNA", at positions 338 to 795 of the family's 1533-position model. The record is from RNAcentral.